This 81-nucleotide transfer RNA is filed under the name Venturia inaequalis. Its description in RNAcentral is "tRNA-Ser". It matches the Rfam family "tRNA". Rfam says of the family: Transfer RNA (tRNA) molecules are approximately 80 nucleotides in length. Their secondary structure includes four short double-helical elements and three loops (D, anti-codon, and T loops). RNAcentral also lists the same sequence under 1 other name. The record is from RNAcentral. Lineage: Eukaryota; Fungi; Ascomycota; Dothideomycetes; Venturiales; Venturiaceae.
GGCAUCUUGGCGGAGUGGUUAUCGCGCUAGCCUAGAAAGCUAGUUCCUUCGGGAGCGUAGGUUCGAGUCCUACAGAUGUCG